CCCUCCUCUCCUGCGAACGUUCUCUCUCUCUCAACCUCCUCCGCCAUUUUCGAUCUCUCUCCUCUAUUCUUUGUAUCUUCUGCCAAAAUUUGUAGAUCCAAUUCCUUCGUCGUUCUUGAAACUCAAUAAUUUGGUUACCAAUUUGAUUGUAUUUGAUUGGAAAACAUUGAAAUAUCCACAAACUGGCUCUAGCUCCAGACCAAGGCCAGCCGCAAAACCAGCUUUAAAUCCUGGACCUUCUGCUGAAAGAGCUGAGAGGACUUCAGGUAUUUUGUAGCACAUAUACAUUUAUGUUAUUUAAUUUAAGCAUUACAGACUGUUGGUUUUAUGCUCCACGGGGACAAGAAAUCUGGGAUAGAUUUUCUGGUGCAGUUGGGCGUUUGAUAGAAGAAAUCAUCCAGGGGGUUUCGCAAGGUGAUCUUUCACGUCAUAGAUCAUCAGAUGAUCCAUCAUCGAAGGAUGUGCAAGAAGACCGUGAAAGAAGUUGUAUUUCAAGGAACAUGAGUACUUCAAGGAGAUCAGCAAUUGCAUCAUCAAGCAGGCCAAGUUCUUCUGGUGAGCCCAGUGAUGACAGGUCAAGCAACCUGAUGUUAUAUGUUUUUUUGUUUUGCUAUUAAAUUGGGGCUAUUGAAGGCUUGGUUACUUGGGGUGGGUGCAAGCAAUAGCUUACUGUAGAAUUGUGCUAAGUUGGUGAUGCUUAUUUUCUGUUGGUGUUGGUCUAAAGCCAGCUUGGUAGUUUGAGUUGCUACAGUACCAAAGUUGAC
Long non-coding RNA from Spinacia oleracea (spinach), 764 nucleotides. RefSeq lists it as uncharacterized. The transcript has 4 exons. NCBI's taxonomy places the organism in Eukaryota, Viridiplantae, Streptophyta, Magnoliopsida, Caryophyllales, Amaranthaceae. The record is from RefSeq and is a predicted model, not a curated record.